GACGUAGGGUGCGAGCGUUAAUCGGAAUUACUGGGCGUAAAGCGUGCGCAGGCGGCUUUGCAAGACAGAUGUGAAAUCCCCGGGCUCAACCUGGGAACUGCAUUUGUGACUGCAAGGCUAGAGUACGGCAGAGGGGGAUGGAAUUCCGCGUGUAGCAGUGAAAUGCGUAGAUAUGCGGAGGAACACCAAUGGCGAAGGCAAUCCCCUGGGCCUGUACUGACGCUCAUGCACGAAAGCGUGGGGAGCAAACAGG
Molecule: ribosomal RNA, 253 nt
Filed under: uncultured bacterium
Lineage: Bacteria
Also listed under: 1 other name
Description: partial 16S ribosomal RNA
Rfam family: Bacterial small subunit ribosomal RNA
Source: RNAcentral